GAAAUGGAUUGCGAAGAAGAUCCGAAGAAGCCUCUUUAUCAUAUCUAACUUACAUAUUACACAUGUAUAUGCUCGCGUCGCUGAUACAUGGCAAGACGUUCACUAUAAAAUAAGCAAAUCAUUUAAAUGUGCCAAAAUUCCGCAUUGCGCUUGCGCUCUCAGUGUAUCUAUAUCUGAUACAGAAGCCCAAAUAAAACUAGGCUUUCAAACACCCAUUAGCGACUGCCCCUUCGGGAGUGCUUCCCCCUCUCCAAGCGUGGUGACGUCAAUCGCGGAAACAUGUGUAUGUGAACGGUGGCCUUUCAGCCUUCACCCUCACUUUCGGCACUUCAGAACCACAAGUCGGUGGAAGGCACCGACAAAGCGAUCCAGCAAAACCACUGCACGAUCCUGCCUAUAGCCUGCAAUCGGUUGGAAGGCGUGCAGCUCGGGCCAGCAUGAAACGGAGCCCGAAGGAGUGCGACUGCUUGAUGUGCCCGGAUUGUGAACAGAAGACUCGUGCUAAGCUAAGGGGUUGGCUGCAGGGGCAGCCAGGCCCUCUAGAACUCGAGGAACAGAAGCGGCUGUCGCGAGAAGCAGGAGAAGCUGGUUUUCCGGGUGCCGCUCUGGUGUCUGAAUCGCCGGCCGCUGCCGUUGGGUGUCGACAACGUUCCACUGAAAGCGAGUCGAUGGAGGGCAUCAAGAAAACGGAGACUUCCAACGAGGGAUCUGGCGGCGCAAGUCGUGGAGGCCCUCCUUCGCAAGUAGGAAAGGCCUCUAGCUCAAGGUCUUCUGGCGACGCUGAAGGGCCUCGAACCAAGAUGCCCUUUUACAGCGGCUGGUUCAGAAAGUGCUGAAGUGCCUCGUGAUAGUCCAUGAUGGCUAUCGGGAUCAUCGACCCCGGUGCUUCCAGCACCGUCUGUUUCGUCAUUGAUGAAGCGAUGCUCACUGCAAUUAUCGAAAACUUCGAUCUUUAGACAAUAAACGUGCUUUCGUUUCUUUUA
This is a long non-coding RNA of Dermacentor albipictus, 983 nucleotides long. RefSeq lists it as uncharacterized. The record is from RefSeq and is a predicted model, not a curated record. NCBI's taxonomy places the organism in Eukaryota, Metazoa, Arthropoda, Arachnida, Ixodida, Ixodidae.